GAUGAACGCUGGCGGCGUGCCUAAUACAUGCGAGUCGAGCGAACAGACGAGGAGCUUGCUCCUCUGACGUUAGCGGCGGACGGGUGAGUAACACGUGGAUAACCUACCUAUAAGACUGGGAUAACUUCGGGAAACCGGAGCUAAUACCGGAUAAUAUAUUGAACCGCAUGGUUCAAUAGUGAAAGACGGUUUUGCUGUCAUUUAUAGAUGGAUCCGCGCCGCAUUAGCUAGUUGGUAAGGUAACGGCUUACCAAGGCAACGAUGCGUAGCCGACCUGAGAGGGUGAUCGGCCACACUGGAACUGAGACACGGUCCAGACUCCUACGGGAGGCAGCAGUAGGGAAUCUUCCGCAAUGGGCGAAAGCCUGACGGAGCAACGCCGCGUGAGUGAUGAAGGUCUUCGGAUCGUAAAACUCUGUUAUUAGGGAAGAACAAAUGUGUAAGUAACUAUGCACGUCUUGACGGUACCUAAUCAGAAAGCCACGGCUAACUACGUG
RNAcentral lists this ribosomal RNA (497 nucleotides) under uncultured bacterium. RNAcentral describes it as "partial 16S ribosomal RNA". It matches the Rfam family "Bacterial small subunit ribosomal RNA", at positions 28 to 507 of the family's 1533-position model. The record is from RNAcentral.